This 254-nucleotide ribosomal RNA is filed under the name uncultured bacterium. RNAcentral describes it as "partial 16S ribosomal RNA". It matches the Rfam family "Bacterial small subunit ribosomal RNA", at positions 524 to 776 of the family's 1533-position model. The record is from RNAcentral.
CACGUAGGGAGCGAGCGUUGUCCGGAUUUAUUGGGCGUAAAGAGCUCGUAGGUGGUUCCGUCAGUCGGAUGUGAAAACUCAAGGCUUAACCUUGAGACGCCAUCCGAUACUGCGGUGACUUGAGUUCGGUAGAGGAGUGUGGAAUUCCUGGUGUAGCGGUGAAAUGCGCAGAUAUCAGGAGGAACAUCAACAGCGAAGGCAGCACUCUGGGCCGAUACUGACACUGAGGAGCGAAAGCAUGGGGAGCAAACAGG